GAGAGGUGGCGGAGUGGUCGAUCGCGGCGGUCUUGAAAACCGUUGUCCCGCAAGGGACCGGGGGUUCGAAUCCCUCC
RNAcentral lists this transfer RNA (77 nucleotides) under bovine gut metagenome. It matches the Rfam family "tRNA", at positions 7 to 64 of the family's 71-position model. Rfam says of the family: Transfer RNA (tRNA) molecules are approximately 80 nucleotides in length. Their secondary structure includes four short double-helical elements and three loops (D, anti-codon, and T loops). The record is from RNAcentral.